Molecule: RNA transcript, 1385 nt
Organism: Eucalyptus grandis
Lineage: Eukaryota; Viridiplantae; Streptophyta; Magnoliopsida; Myrtales; Myrtaceae
Gene name: extra-large guanine nucleotide-binding protein 1-like
Exons: 4
Source: RefSeq, a predicted model, not a curated record
UAUGUAACUUUUAGUCCAUUAUGCACUCAUUUCAGGCCAAGAUUCUGUAUGGUUUCCCCUUUUCUGAAGAUGAACGUCAAAAAAUGAAGUUAAUGAUCCAGAGCAAUCUAUACUGCUAUCUGCGCAUACUGCUCGAAGGACGUGAGAGAUUUGAAGAGGAAACUUUGAGGUGAAAGGGGAAAAGCCUGUUAUUUGACCAACCCAGUUCUUCGGGUAUAUUGUGAAGAAAGCUGCCUUCGCCUCUUCAUAUAUUCCUCUGCGAUGAUGGAAAUAGUCAUGGUUAGAUCUUGGCACAUUGCUUGUAGGAUGCAAACGGUUUGAAAGAAAAAGGUCAGGGGAGAAGGGAAAAAGACCGAUGAUUAAUAGAUGUCACUCUUCAGGUAUUACAUUAGGAAAGGCGGCAUCUUUUGAACCUCUCUCUUAACUGCAUUACUUCCUCUGGAGUUCGAACAGUUACUCCGGGUUCUUUUACAGCAUGGAGCGAUGGGAUGUGAGGCAUUUGGAAAGUUAGGCGCUCUAAAAUGUCAUAGCAGAAAUUAAUCUACUAAUUUUCAUAUGUAUAUUCAUCUGGAUCUGCUGGACUAAUUACUAAUCAAUUCACAGCGAAUAUGUAUCCAAAGGAAACUAUUUUGACCUCUUCCAUGGGCUCAAGGCUGAAACAAUUCUCAGAUUGGCUUCUCAAGGUAAUAGCAUCUGCUAAUCUAGAAGCCCUAGUUCUCUCUGCCAGUCAUGAAUACUCUCCUUUUAUCGAGGAACUGUGGAAGAAUGAAGCCAUUCAAGUCACGUACAACCGAAGGAACAACUUAGAAAAGCUCCCUAGAGUGGCUACAUUUUUUUCUGGAGCGGGCUGUUGAGAUUUUAAAAGAAGAGUAUGAGGUCUCUGAUACGGAUAUUCUGUACGCAGAGGGAAUCACCUCUUCUAAUGGUCUUGCAAGCAUGGAAUUUUCAUUUCCCACGUCAGCAAAAGCUGAUGGAUACAUAGACUCCAUUGAUCAGCAUUGCAGCAUGAUGAGGCAAACGUCACACCAAAAUGCACUUGAUAGAAAAUCACCAUCAACUACUAUUUCUCGUACCAACUCAUCAGGGUGCAUCCUAGAAGCCUAGGGGAAAACUGCAAGUGGUUGGAGAUGUUUGAAGAUGUUAAUAUCGUCUUGUUCUGCAUCUCAUUGACAGACCAUGACGAGUUCUAUGAGGACAAUAAAGGAUUACUGAUGAACAAGAUGAUUGCAAGCAAAGAGCUUUUGAAAGUGUCGUCACUCAUCCGACCUUAUAUAAAAAGGACUUCCUUCUGAUUAUGAACAAGUUCAAUCUGCUCAAAGAAAAGAUUGAACAAUCUCCUUUAACUCGAUGUGAAUGGUUUUGUGAUUUCCAUCCAGUGAUCAGCU